This 31-nucleotide non-coding RNA is filed under the name Mus musculus (house mouse). Lineage: Eukaryota; Metazoa; Chordata; Mammalia; Rodentia; Muridae. The record is from RNAcentral.
UAUAACUCAUUCAUUUUGACUAUGCCAGACA